Molecule: ribosomal RNA, 253 nt
Filed under: uncultured bacterium
Lineage: Bacteria
Description: partial 16S ribosomal RNA
Rfam family: Bacterial small subunit ribosomal RNA
Source: RNAcentral
UACGGAGGAUGCAAGCGUUAUCCGGAAUGAUUGGGCGUAAAGCGUCCGCAGGUGGCAAUGUAAGUCUGCUGUUAAAGAGUCUAGCUCAACUAGAUAAAAGCAGUGGAAACUACAUAGCUAGAGUACGUUCGGGGCAGAGGGAAUUCCUGGUGUAGCGGUGAAAUGCGUAGAGAUCAGGAAGAACACCAGUGGCGAAGGCGCUCUGCUAGGCCGUAACUGACACUGAGGGACGAAAGCGUGGGGAGCAAACAGG